UCUGACGGAGCACCGCCGCGUGAGUGAUAGAAGGUUUUCGGAUCUGUAAAACUCUGUUGUUAGGGAAGAACAAGUACCGUUCGAAUAGGGGGGGACCUUGCCGGUACCUAACCAGAAAGCCACGGCUAACUACGUGCCAGCAGCCGCGGUAAUACGUAGGUGGCAAGCGUUGUCCGGAAUUAUUGGGCGUAAAGCGCGCGCAGGCGGUUUCUUAAGUCUGAUGNGAAAGCCCCCGGCUCAACCGGGGAGGGUCAUUGGAAACUGGGGAACUUGAGUGCAGAAGAGGAGAGUGGAAUUCCACGUGUAGCGGUGAAAUGCGUAGAGAUGUGGAGGAACACCAGUGGCGAAGGCGACUCUCUGGUCUGUAACUGACGCUGAGGCGCGAAAGCGUGGGGAGCGAACAGGAUUAGAUACCCUGGUAGUCCACGCCGUAAACGAUGAGUGCUAAGUGUUAGAGGGUUUCCGCCCUUUAGUGCUGCAGCAAACGCAUUAAGCACUCCGCCUGGGGAGUACGGUCGCAAGACUGAAACUCAAAGGAAUUGACGGGGGCCCG
This 553-nucleotide ribosomal RNA is filed under the name Bacillus licheniformis. Its description in RNAcentral is "bacterial SSU rRNA". It matches the Rfam family "Bacterial small subunit ribosomal RNA", at positions 382 to 923 of the family's 1533-position model. Lineage: Bacteria; Bacillati; Bacillota; Bacilli; Caryophanales; Bacillaceae. The record is from RNAcentral.